GCUUCUGUAGCUCAGUUGGUUAAGAGCGAUUAGACCGUUGUUCUAAAAGGUCGCAGGUUCGUGUCUUGCCAGAAGCA
Cydia strobilella is the source of this 77-nucleotide non-coding RNA. Lineage: Eukaryota; Metazoa; Arthropoda; Insecta; Lepidoptera; Tortricidae. The record is from the annotation of a RefSeq genome assembly.